GCAGACCCUACGUCCUGUUUCAUCUAUACAAAGGUGAUGAACUCCCAGAGUCUCAGGAUCCACAGUUUGCAGGACGAGUCCAGUGGGACAAAGACGUCCUCACAGAAGGACGCCUCACACUUCAUGUCUCCAGACUCAGGACCAGUGACUCUGGGUUUUAUGUGUGCCAUACGCACACCUGAUGGGAGUAACUAUGCUGGCUCGACGUCACUGCUGCUCCUCAACCAGAGAGCUGGAGAAACAACUGGAUCAACGUUAGACUGACACUGCUUUAUUUCUUUGCUGUUGUUUUUGUUUCUUUUGUUUCUUUUUCUAAUUAUUGCUUUUGUAAUUUUUUCAAUUCUUCUUUUGUUUCUAUUUGUGUUUGUUUUCUUGUUCCUAUUUUUGUUUCUUCUUUUUGUACUGCAUUAUUUUGUAUGCAUAGACAUGACACUUAAUAAACAAAACAGUAAAAAGAAAGUAAGAAGAAUAGAAAAUAGAAACACAGCCCAAAUGAUAUUCAAGUGUCCUCAUCCUCCAUCAUGUUGUAGACCAGUAUGCUCCAGGAAGUCCUACAAGGUUUUCCAGCUAGUUUGUUUUGAAGGAAAACACGUAUCCUUUCAAGAGCAAGGUAGAAAGUCCUCCCUUUCAGCCGUUGAGGAAAUCCACAGGUUGAUGGUUCCUUCCAUGUGUGAUUUUUACACUCAGAGCAGAACAAAAUAACAUCAUCCGCGUACAAAGCUAUUCUGUUUUCUACACCUCCUAUAUUUAUUCCCGUUAUAAUGGCGUGUUUACGGAUUGCCAUCGCUAGUGGCUCAAUGGCCGGUGUGAAUAGGAGAGGAGAGAGGGGACUGCCUUGUUCCUCGCUUGAGUUUAACGGGAGAUGACACAAGUCCAUUUGUUAGGAUGUCAGCUUGUGGGUUGGAGUAUAGGAGUCGUACGCAACUUAAAAAUCUACCCCCAGUACAAUUCCAGUCAAAGAUCGUCUGUUUUAUUUUCAAGAGACACAUUUUUUUGUAUUUUUUUAAGACUGAAUUUUCUGAGUGAAUUUGAUUGUUAAACCAAAACAAAAACUAAGCACUUGAUGAUUUAAUGUAGGACUUGUAUCUGAUUCACCAGCACUUCCUAUGGUAUGUUCUGGCUUGAAGUGAAUAUAUCUGCUCCUUCCUUGUUGUUUGGAGUUUGAUUCUUUAUGGUUUUUGCACUUAUUGGAAGUCGCUUUGGAAAAAAGCAUCAGCUAAAUUAUAUGAAAUGUAUGUACAUAUUAAGCUGGCUCUUUUCUGCUGUAACAAUGUACAUUUCCCCUCUGUGGGACGAAUAAAGGGAUUCUGGUUCUGA
Long non-coding RNA from Trematomus bernacchii (emerald rockcod), 1317 nucleotides. RefSeq lists it as uncharacterized. The transcript has 2 exons. The record is from RefSeq and is a predicted model, not a curated record. NCBI's taxonomy places the organism in Eukaryota, Metazoa, Chordata, Actinopteri, Perciformes, Nototheniidae.